AUUGAACGCUGGCGGAAUGCUUUACACAUGCAAGUCGAACGGCAGCACGGACUUCGGUCUGGUGGCGAGUGGCGAACGGGUGAGUCAUGUAUCGGAACGUGCCCAGUCGUGGGGGAUAACGUAGUGAAAAUUACGCUAAUACCGCAUACGAUCUAUGGAUGAAAGCGGGGGAUCGCAAGACCUCGAGCGAUUGGAGCGGCCGAUAUCAGAUUAGGUAGUUGGUGGGGUAAAGGCCCACCAAGCCAACGAUCUGUAGCUGGUCUGAGAGGACGCCCAGCCACACUGGAACUGAGACACGGUCCAGGCUCCUGCGGGAGGCAGUAGUGGGGAAUUUUGGACAAUGGGCGAAGGCCUGAUCCAGCCAGUCCGCGUGCAGGAUGAAGACCCUCGGGUUGUAAACUGCUUUUGUACAGGACGAAAAGGUCUCUCUUAAUACGGGGGGCUCAUAACGGUACCGUAAGAAUAAGCACCGGCUAACUACGUGCCAGCCGCCGCAGUAA
Molecule: ribosomal RNA, 500 nt
Filed under: uncultured bacterium
Lineage: Bacteria
Description: partial 16S ribosomal RNA
Rfam family: Bacterial small subunit ribosomal RNA
Source: RNAcentral